This is a microRNA precursor of Oryza sativa Indica Group (long-grained rice), 203 nucleotides long. It matches the Rfam family "MIR812 microRNA precursor family". Lineage: Eukaryota; Viridiplantae; Streptophyta; Magnoliopsida; Poales; Poaceae. The record is from Rfam.
UUUAAAUGAACCACGAGUUUCCGCGCUCAACAUUGAUCGUCCGAUUUGAAAAAAUUUUAUAAUUAGUAUUUUUUUUGUUGUUAUGAGAUGAUAAAACAUGAAUAGUACUUUACUUAUAACUUAUGUUUUUAAAUUUUUUCAAAAUUAUUUUAAAUAAAACGGACAAUUAAAGUUGGGCGCGGAAAACCAUUGCUGCACUUAAA